UGUUCAAUUUUUCUGAAAUCGUGCUUAAUUAACAUUAGUUGUUCGGCGCUACGAUGUUGUUCAAAUACGUACAUUACAGAAUCACAUUAUGAUUAAACCAGAAACGGCUCGACUUGAACCAGCAGGUAAGAAUCUGUUUUGAAAUUAUAUCUUGGGAGGUUGGAUUGGAUUGGCGGCCAUUUUGAUUCUUGUUUCAUGAUUUUUUAUAUUAUAAAGAUUUUGCCAAGAGUAGACAUAAACGCGGGCACAGACUAGAAAAAAUCUUUUUACACUUUUGUGUUAGUUGAAUUGUAAUCUAAUUUAUGUUUAAAAAAACAACCUUAAAUCAAAUAAGCAGAUAUUUUCCCCAAACCCUCCGUUCAACCUCUGACUCUGUCACUCUGUGGAAUAUUAUUAGGCCCCUAUUUUCCUGAUUCAGUCACAGUUAAUAAAUAAUAAAUAAUGGAACUAGAAUCAGUCUGUGGAAGUUUCUCUAUAGUUUCAUUAUUUUUUCCAGUCAGUGAUGAUAUGACUCAUUCCACCUUACAGUUACAGCAAUUACCGUAUUGAGAAUUUACCGUUCAAGGACUCCAUUUUGGCAUUGAAUUGGAAUUUGAAGAAAAACUGUUUCAAUAUUGGAUGUAUAUGCAAAUCACCCAGGAAAAGAUCAUGUAACAAAAGAAAUUAUAAAAGUAAAAAAAUGGAAGAAGAAAUGGCUGGAAAAAAUGAUGAUAGAGCAGCUUUUUCUUGUUAGCCACCUCGGAAGAUCAAGACAGCUGGAAAGGGCUAUUGAUAUUGUGGAGGUGUUUUCUUAGAGGUUGCUUAUCAGACAAAGGCUAUUUAACUACGUCAGAAAGAUAAAAACAGUUGGAAAUGGCUAUUCAUAUUGUGGAAACUUUUCUCACAGAGCUUGAUAAUCAGGCAAAAUGCUGGAACACCCUUGAAAGAGUAUUUGAUGUAUGAUAACAACAAGAGAACCCAAGCAUCAAUUUAUUUUAUACUUCUGGGAAAGAAUGCAUUUGACCCAAUUUUUAAAUAUUUAUUUUUUGUUAUUAAUGUUAAAUUUUCUUCCAAAACACAAUUAGAUUUUAAUUCUCUUCAAAUAUGUAUGUAUAAUAUAGCAAGUUAACUGACAUAUAAAU
Patella vulgata (common limpet) is the source of this 1121-nucleotide long non-coding RNA. RefSeq lists it as uncharacterized. NCBI's taxonomy places the organism in Eukaryota, Metazoa, Mollusca, Gastropoda, Patellidae. The transcript has 5 exons. The record is from RefSeq and is a predicted model, not a curated record.